AUUGAACGCUGGCGGCAGGCCUAACACAUGCAAGUCGAGCGGAUGAAGGGAGCUUGCUCCUGGAUUCAGCGGCGGACGGGUGAGUAAUGCCUAGGAAUCUGCCUGGUAGUGGGGGAUAACGUCCGGAAACGGGCGCUAAUACCGCAUACGUCCUGAGGGAGAAAGAGGGGGAUCUUCGGACCUCACGCUAUCAGAUGAGCCUAGGUCGGAUUAGCUAGUUGGUGGGGUAAAGGCCUACCAAGGCGACGAUCCGUAACUGGUCUGAGAGGAUGAUCAGUCACACUGGAACUGAGACACGGUCAAGACUCCUACGGGAGGCAGCAGUGGGGAAUAGUGGACAAUGGGCGAAAGCCUGAUCCAGCCAUGCCGCGUGUGUGAAGAAGGUCUUCGGAUUGUAAAGCACUUUAAGUUGGGAGGAAGGGCAGUAAGUUGAUACCUUGCUGUUUUGACGUUACCAACAGAAUAAGCACCGGCUAACUUCGUG
This 484-nucleotide ribosomal RNA is filed under the name uncultured bacterium. RNAcentral describes it as "partial 16S ribosomal RNA". It matches the Rfam family "Bacterial small subunit ribosomal RNA", at positions 30 to 507 of the family's 1533-position model. The record is from RNAcentral.